This 253-nucleotide ribosomal RNA is filed under the name uncultured Rikenellaceae bacterium. RNAcentral describes it as "partial 16S ribosomal RNA". It matches the Rfam family "Bacterial small subunit ribosomal RNA", at positions 524 to 776 of the family's 1533-position model. Lineage: Bacteria; Pseudomonadati; Bacteroidota; Bacteroidia; Bacteroidales; Rikenellaceae. The record is from RNAcentral.
UACGGAGGAUGCGAGCGUUAUCCGGAUUUAUUGGGUUUAAAGGGUGCGUAGGUUGUUUUUUAAGUCAGCGGUGAAAGUUUGUGGCUCAACAUCGGGGCUGCCGCUGAUACUGUAGGACUAGAGAUCGGAUGCAGCAGGCGGAAUGUGUAGUGUAGCGGUGAAAUGCAUAGAUAUUACACAGAACACCGAUUGCGAAGGCAGCUUGCUAGGCCGGAUCUGACACUGAUGCACGAAAGCGUGGGGAUCGAACAGG